UACGGAGGGUGCAAGCGUUAUCCGGAUUCACUGGGUUUAAAGGGUGUGUAGGCGGAUAUUUAAGUCAGUGGUGAAAUCUCCAGGCUCAACCUGGAAACUGCCAUUGAUACUAUUUAUCUUGAAUUCUGUUGAGGUGGGCGGAAUACAUCAUGUAGCGGUGAAAUGCUUAGAUAUGAUGUAGAACACCGAUUGCGAAGGCAGCUCACUAAGCAGACAUUGACGCUGAGGCACGAAAGCGUGGGGAUCAAAC
RNAcentral lists this ribosomal RNA (250 nucleotides) under uncultured bacterium. RNAcentral's name for it is "partial 16S ribosomal RNA". It matches the Rfam family "Bacterial small subunit ribosomal RNA", at positions 524 to 773 of the family's 1533-position model. The record is from RNAcentral.